GCAGGUUUGUGUGUUGUUGAGAUUUGAUUGACAGCUGUGUGGAUGGUUGUGAUGGUGAUUGUUUCUCUGAAGGAUCCUGCCCUCUGGGGGAGAGGUCAGUGUGAACAUCCAAUCAGCAGGCUGCUUGGGGACGGACACUGAGGUCAACACGCUGGAGCAUGUACAGGUGAAGGUGAGUCUCAGCAGUGUGUGUCGUGGUGACCUCUCCAUAGCCCUAGUGUCCCCAGCGGGCACAGUGUCUCUGCUCCUGGCCACGCGGAGCAACGAUGCCUCGGCCGCCGGCCUGAGGAACUGGACACUGAUGAGCGUCCAGUCCUGGGGGGAACACCCUCACGGCGUCUGGAUACUCAAGAAGAGCCCCUGUAGAGUUUUUGGUCCAUGGGUGCGUACCACCCUGUCCCUCAGGCGGGGCUGUAUGUUCGGGACAGUCACCCACCUCAGGACCUGAUCCAGUGGGCCUUUGAGCUAGAGAGAGACAGGAAGGUGGGCACUGAUGA
Molecule: long non-coding RNA, 497 nt
Organism: Coregonus clupeaformis (lake whitefish)
Lineage: Eukaryota; Metazoa; Chordata; Actinopteri; Salmoniformes; Salmonidae
Exons: 3
Source: RefSeq, a predicted model, not a curated record